CAAGGAAUUUUCCACAAUGGGCGCAAGCCUGAUGGAGCAACGCCGCGUGGGGGAAGACGCUUUUCGGAGUGUAAACCCCUUUUCGAGAGGACGAAGCCAAUGACGGUACUCUCGGAAUAAGGACCGGCUAACUACGUGCCAGCAGCCGCGGUAAGACGUAGGGUCCGAGCGUUGUCCGGAGUUACUGGGCGUAAAGCGCGCGCAGGCGGUUUGGUACGUCGGGUGUGAAAGCCCCCCGCUCAACGGGGGAGGGUCAUUCGAAACGGCUGAACUGGAGGCAGGGAGAGGUCGGUGGAAUUCCCGGUGUAGUGGUGAAAUGCGUAGAUAUCGGGAGGAACACCAGUGGCGAAGGCGGCCGACUGGACCUGUACUGACGCUGAGGCGCGAAGGCGUGGGGAGCGAACGG
Molecule: ribosomal RNA, 406 nt
Filed under: uncultured organism
Description: bacterial SSU rRNA
Rfam family: Bacterial small subunit ribosomal RNA
Source: RNAcentral